RNAcentral lists this transfer RNA (77 nucleotides) under Rhodospirillaceae bacterium. Its description in RNAcentral is "tRNA-Ile". It matches the Rfam family "tRNA". Rfam says of the family: Transfer RNA (tRNA) molecules are approximately 80 nucleotides in length. Their secondary structure includes four short double-helical elements and three loops (D, anti-codon, and T loops). The record is from RNAcentral. Lineage: Bacteria; Pseudomonadati; Pseudomonadota; Alphaproteobacteria; Rhodospirillales; Rhodospirillaceae. RNAcentral also lists the same sequence under 3 other names.
GGGCUCGUAGCUCAGCUGGUUAGAGCACACGCUUGAUAAGCGUGGGGUCGUAAGUUCAAAUCUUACCGGGCCCACCA